Molecule: small RNA, 566 nt
Filed under: Pan troglodytes (chimpanzee)
Lineage: Eukaryota; Metazoa; Chordata; Mammalia; Primates; Hominidae
Description: processed transcript
Source: RNAcentral
UGCAGAAGCUGCAGCUGACCAGGAGCAUCUGGACCAUUGACCUGGCCUACCUGAUGCACCACUUUGGCGUGAGGCACCGCUUCUGUACCCAGACCCUGGGCGUCGACAAGGGCUACAAGAACCAGUGGGAGGAAAUGAAGUUUUCAGGAUGGUGGGAUGUGAUUUAGACAGUGCACAUGCUGUUAGGGCUGUCACUAGGGAGUGGCCUUCAUGGAGGGUGGUAACAGCACCUCAGUCCAGCCAAAAUGUUUAGAAACACUCAGUCUCUGGUCCCAGAGGAUGGCUUCUCAGGGCAUGCCACAAGUUAAAGGUCACCUUCCUGAAAGAUGAAUGAGAAAGCUGCCCAUUCUCAAGACUCAUCUGCCUAGGGAGGGUCACAGAGGCAGGAUGUAAGACACACUGUGUUGCAUUCUUGCACAAGUCAUGAAAAUGGGGCCAGAGAGCCUGGACAUCAGGGACUUUUGCCUACAGCACAUGACACCAACAGCUGCCCAGCCUGUUCACAUGCUGGGGACCAGCACAGCACCUGAAGCCAUGUGGGACAGUGGGCUUUGUUCAUUCUAGCC